This 301-nucleotide ribosomal RNA is filed under the name uncultured bacterium. RNAcentral describes it as "partial 16S ribosomal RNA". It matches the Rfam family "Bacterial small subunit ribosomal RNA", at positions 509 to 807 of the family's 1533-position model. The record is from RNAcentral.
CAGCCGCCGCGGUAAUACGGAGAGUGCAAGCGUUAAUCGGAAUUACUGGGCGUAAAGCGCACGCAGGCGGUCUGACAAGUCAGAUGUGAAAUCCCCGGGCUUAACCUGGGAACUGCAUUUGAAACUGUCAGGCUGGAGUCUUGUAGAGGGGGGUGGAAUUCCAGGUGUAGCGGUGAAAUGCGUAGAGAUCUGGAGGAAUACCGGUGGCGAAGGCGGCCCCCUGGACAAAGACUGACGCUCAGGUGCGAAAGCGUGGGGAGCAAACAGGAUUAGAGACCCCAGUAGUCCCUGUCUCUUAUAC